Molecule: ribosomal RNA, 253 nt
Filed under: uncultured bacterium
Lineage: Bacteria
Description: partial 16S ribosomal RNA
Rfam family: Bacterial small subunit ribosomal RNA
Source: RNAcentral
GACGGAGGGUGCUAGCGUUGUUCGGAAUCACUGGGCGUAAAGGGCGUGUAGGCGGUCCGCUAAGUCUGAUGUGAAAGCCCGGGGCUCACCCCCGGAAGGGCAUUGGAAACUGACGGACUCGAGUCCCGAAGAGGAGGGUGGAAUUCCUGGUGUAGCGGUGAAAUGCGUAGAUAUCAGGAGGAACACCGAUGGCGAAGGCAGCUGCCUGGCCUAACACUGACGCUGAGGUGCGAAAGCGUGGGGAGCGAACGGG